This 497-nucleotide ribosomal RNA is filed under the name uncultured bacterium. RNAcentral describes it as "partial 16S ribosomal RNA". It matches the Rfam family "Bacterial small subunit ribosomal RNA", at positions 28 to 507 of the family's 1533-position model. The record is from RNAcentral.
GAUGAACGCUGGCGGCGUGCCUAAUACAUGCAAGUCGAGCGAACGGACGAGAAGCUUGCUUCUCUGAUGUUAGCGGCGGACGGGUGAGUAACACGUGGAUAACCUACCUAUAAGACUGGGAUAACUUCGGGAAACCGGAGCUAAUACCGGAUGAUAUUUUGAACCGCAUGGUUCAAAAGUGAAAGACGGUCUUGCUGUCACUUAUAGAUGGAUCCGCGCUGCAUUAGCUAGUUGGUAAGGUAACGGCUUACCAAGGCAACGAUGCAUAGCCGACCUGAGAGAGUGAUCGGCCACACUGGAACUGAGACACGGUCAGGACUCCUACGGGAGGCAGCAGUAGGGAAUCUUCCGCAAUGGGCGAAAGCCUGACGGAGCAACGCCGCGUGAGUGAUAAAGGUCUUCGGAUCGGAAAACUCUGUUAUUAGGGAAGAACAUAUGUGUAAGUAACUGUGCACAUCUUGACGGUAACUGAUCAGAAAGCCACGGCUAACUACGUG